Molecule: ribosomal RNA, 492 nt
Filed under: uncultured bacterium
Lineage: Bacteria
Description: partial 16S ribosomal RNA
Rfam family: Bacterial small subunit ribosomal RNA
Source: RNAcentral
AGUGAACGCUGGCGGUAGGCCUAACACAUGCAAGUCGAACGGCAGCACAGUAAGAGCUUGCUCUUACGGGUGGCGAGUGGCGGACGGGUGAGGAAUACAUCGGAAUCUACUUUUUCGUGGGGGAUAACGUAGGGAAACUUACGCUAAUACCGCAUACGACCUACGGGUGAAAGCAGGGGAUCUUCGGACCUUGCGCGAUUGAAUGAGCCGAUGUCGGAUUAGCUAGUUGGCGGGGUAACGGCCCACCAAGGCGACGAUCCGUAGGUCGUCCGAGAGGAUGAUUCGGCAGAUGGGCUGAGAGGAAGAUCCCCCACACCGACAGGGAGAAACGGUCGGGAAUAUUACGCGAGGCGGGAGAGCGUAAUCUAGCGAAACCGGGUGAAUCAUGACGGCGUCAUGCUUGUAAAGCCAUGUAGUUGGUAAAAAAGUACAACACGUUAACACCCGGCUAUACUGACGGUACCCAAAGAAUAAGCACCGGCUAACUUCGUG